CUUCGGGAUGGAAGGAUAAGAACUUAGUGGCGGACGGGUGAGUAACGCGUGGGUAACCUGCCCUUUUGUGGGGAACAACUUCGAGAAAUCGGAGCUAAUACCGCAUAAUAAUAGAGGAUCGCAUGAUUCUUUAAGGAAAGAUGGCCUCUGAAGAUGCUAUCGCAAAAGGAUGGACCCGCGUCUGAUUAGCUAGUUGGAAGGGUAACGGCCUACCAAGGCAACGAUCAGUAGCCGGCCUGAGAGGGUGAACGGCCACAUUGGGACUGAGACACGGCCCAAACUCCUACGGGAGGCAGCAGUGGGGAAUCUUCCGCAAUGGGCGAAAGCCUGACGGAGCAAUGCCGCGUGAGUGAAGAAGGCCUUCGGGUUGUAAAACUCUGUCCUUAUCGAAGAGAGGUAGGUAUGUGAAUAAUGUACCUAUAGGACGGUAGAUAAGGAGGAAGCCCCGGCUAACUACGUGCCAGCAGCCGCGGUAAUACGUAGGGGGCGAGCGUUGUCCGGAAUCACUGGGCGUAAAGGGCGCGUAGGCGGUUUAAUAAGUCAGUGGUGAAAACUGAGGGCUCAACCCUCAGCCUGCCACUGAUACUGUUAGACUUGAGUAUGGAAGAGGAGAAUGGAAUUCCUAGUGUAGCGGUGAAAUGCGUAGAUAUUAGGAGGAACACCAGUGGCGAAGGCGAUUCUCUGGGCCAAGACUGACGCUGAGGCGCGAAAGCGUGGGGAGCAAACAGGAUUAGAUACCCUGGUAGUCCACGCCGUANACGAUGGAUACUAGGUGUUAGUAGUUUCGAUGCUACUAGUGCCNGAGUAAACACAAUAAGUAUCCCGCCUGGGGAGUACGGUCGCAAGACUGAAACUCAAAGGAAUUGACGGGGGCCCGCACAAGCGGUGGAGCAUGUGGUUUAAUUCG
RNAcentral lists this ribosomal RNA (907 nucleotides) under uncultured bacterium. RNAcentral describes it as "bacterial SSU rRNA". It matches the Rfam family "Bacterial small subunit ribosomal RNA", at positions 74 to 953 of the family's 1533-position model. The record is from RNAcentral.